RNAcentral lists this ribosomal RNA (467 nucleotides) under uncultured bacterium. Its description in RNAcentral is "partial 16S ribosomal RNA". It matches the Rfam family "Bacterial small subunit ribosomal RNA", at positions 28 to 507 of the family's 1533-position model. The record is from RNAcentral.
GACGAACGCUGGCGGCGUGCUUAACACAUGCAAGUCGAACGGAAAGGCCUCUUUCGGGGGGUACUCGAGUGGCGAACGGGUGAGUAACACGUGAGUAACCUGCCCUUGACUUUGGGAUAACUUCAGGAAACUGGGGCUAAUACCGGAUAGGAGCUCUUGCUGCAUGGUGGGGGUUGGAGAGUUUCGGCGGUUGGGGAUGGACUCGCGGCUUAUCAGCUUGUUGGUGGGGUAGUGGCUUACCAAGGCUUUGACGGGUAGCCGGCCUGAGAGGGUGACCGGCCACAUUGGGACUGAGAUACGGCCCAGACUCCUACGGGAGGCAGCAGUGGGGAAUAUUGCACAAUGGGUGGAAGCCUGAUGCAGCAACGCCGUGUGCGGGAUGACGGCCUUCGGGUUGUAAACCGCUUUCGCUCAUGACGAAGCUUUGUGUGACGGUAGUGGGUAAAGAAGCACCGGCUAACUACGUG